GCAUGCUCCACGGUGCUCACAACACAGCCACACGCAAGGCGUGACCAGUGUUGUACGUGAGCCCGGAGCUUGCGCCUGCACCAAGAAUUAACAGAGAAAACAGGAUCAGCUCUGCUUGAAGCUGGACAACGCAAGCGUUACCCAGCCGGCGGGUUUGCCGUAGCUCCCCCGCCACAGCCUUGCUUUCACUUCGCCUUCGGGUUUUGUGAGACCCUUAGACUUGCACACAUGCUAUACUCCUUGGCCCGUGUUUCGAGACGUGACCGAUGGUGCUGGACUUAACACCACUCAGACCAACGCCCGGCUGAGAGACCUUGCAUAAUGCAGCUGGGUUCACACCGCCUGGGGUUGACUCUUCCGGCACAGUGGAAGAGUCCGGGCGUCGGUCUGGCCAGAAAGCAGCUCGUCGCAAGAGGAUCAUACCAGGUUUAUCUCGGUCGCCGCCCGACCCAGGACUAGACACGCGUGUGAAUGAUUGCUCACUCGACAACGCAUCGUUGCCAUCGUCCUGGAUUCGCAAUCGGCAGUCUGAGCCUGUGGGUGACCUCACAACGUGCUGUGGUGGGCAAUUACCGCAUAAGACACAAGAGCUCUGAACGUCCAUUCAAAAGGGAUAGUCGGAAGCACUGCAGGCCGAAGCCUGCCCCCCCCGAAGCUGAUCCCCCGCACGACAGCUAAACCUGGCAAACUCAAUGCUACGCCUGAGGAACCAUACUCAUAGGUCUAAGAACACCCCGUAGGAUGAGCAACUGCUGCGGAAGCCUUCCAAGCUCCAUUGGCUUAUACUCUGAGCGGUUUCACGGUCUUU
Molecule: ribosomal RNA, 808 nt
Filed under: Niphargus sp. ND094
Lineage: Eukaryota; Metazoa; Arthropoda; Malacostraca; Amphipoda; Niphargidae
Description: partial large subunit ribosomal RNA
Source: RNAcentral